UCUCCCUCUCCCUCAGUCCCUCCCAUGCCCCACCCAAUCUUCACCUCGCCGCUGCUCCUCCCAAUCCCGCCGCCGAUGCCUCCUCUGCCCCCAAACGACGGCGACAGGGACGCCGGCGCCCUCACCCGCCUUCCACCUCCCUCAACUCGUCUUCUCGAUGGUCGCCUUGGAGGAGCCUCCUUUAGCGCGCCACCGUGGUCGGGCUGCGGCGACCACCAGAGGUUCGCCACCGGCAGGAGUUCCCUCCUUGUCCACCACAAGGCACCGGCAGAGGAGGAUGACUCCUCCUUCCACCCCUAGCCACGGCGUCCAACCUCUAACACCGCCUGAAACCCUAGCCCGAAUCCGGCAGAGGAGCAGCAGCAUGAGAUCCCCUCCAAAAGUGGCAUCUUCUUCUUCCUCUGGUUCUUCGUCUUCUUCCCCGUAUCUGAUGCGUGUGUGUGUUCACGUGGUGUGUGCAGGCAGUUGAAGGAAGGGGCAGGCCAUGGAUAAGCUGCACGGUGCGGGCACCGAGCCUGACGCAUGGAUGGAAGGUACCUCUCUUGCCCAUCUCCUCUGUCUGUCUCUGUUCGAUUCUGUCUAGAUGGAGAUGGUCGUAGGUUUCGGUGGACUAAAAUUCUGCCAAUGUAUACAACUCAAUAUCUUCUAACUGAACAUUACUUCAGUUCUUGUAAAUACAUAGUGUUCCCAAUUCCCAUACCCCUACUUGUAUGUUGCCCUUCUGUUUCGGAAAGCAAAAUAAUUUUUUUCUGGAAAUAAUGCUUGAUAUUCUUUACUUAACAAAAAUUAAUUUCCAUUUGUAGCAUUAUUCAGUUUUGCUGAUAGACUGUUAAUUUUUGUUUUACUUGGUUUCUUUCCAUUUAACUGGAUGUAUAUAGUGGCACUGUAUAUUUAUCCAAGUGAUUAUAGUAAUAUGUCACUAUUGGUUUCAUCCGUAGAGAAAAAUGACAUUUGGCAGAUCUUUGAUUCUUCGUAAACAUGAAGAAGUACGAUAUAAAUUUGUUUAAUCAGACCAACUUCUAUUAAUGCAAAAUUGUUAUGUGACCUACUGGGACAAGAUAUUUUGGUAAGCAUGUGAGCCUAUGGUGAUAAUAAAACUGAAACAUGUACCUGCUAAAAUAGUGCAGUAACCUUUGUUCUUUUCAUUCUAGAUAUCUGGAUAUUGAAUUUAUAGUUUGCUGCAGAGCUACAACCUAUGGCGAUGAGGAAACUUAAACAUGUAGUUGCUCAAAUAAUGCAGUCACCUUUGUUCUUCUUUCUAGAUAUAUGGAUAUUGGAUUUACAGUUUGCUGCAGAGCUACAAGCUAGCGCUUUGUCUCAGUUUUUAUUAAGGUGCUUCUAUUUGAGAUUGCGACAUUAGACAAUAUAAAAACUCAAUUUCUAUGAUAGCACUUUGUCUCAGUUUUUAUUAGGGUGCUUCGCUUGGAUCCCGCUCGAGCGCAUCGGCUAGAUUCGCCCGAUUCGUUUGCUUGUCACGACAUCACUUUGACGGAUCGCCUGUGUCGCCGGUGGUGCCAAUAUUACUUCAGCUUUGGUGUGUGAUUUUUCUGCAAUGGGCAGAUUUGGACGGCACUUUGUUGUAGUAUGCCUUGAAUACGUGCACUGGAAGGAAGCACUUUCUUCCACUGUAACAUAGUAGUAUGCUCGUAGCAGUAGAUAGUUUCUUUUUCACUCAAAUAAGGCACAUGCUCUAUAUUGGAUAGAACUGUUGACCACUUCAGUUCACCUGAAAGUUUUGCUUCUCUGAACUUUUGAACUUUUGAGUUGGUCUAGGUAGUUCGUGAUUCUGUUCCGAAAGAAUGGAAUAUAUUGAUCUAAAGAUGGAUCAGAUUAAUAGUCGCAUUACCAAACCACCAGAUAAGAUGAAAUCAUACUAUGAUUUGGAUUUUAUGUUUUACUGGGCCUCCCCAAGCAAAUCCCAAGUAUUUAGCGUACUACUAUUAUAGAGUACACUGUGUUAAGAUGCCAGAAUUUAAAUAAAAGUCUAAAACAGUUCUAAGAGCUAAUGUGUGAUCAGAACUAUAUUUGUAUUAGUUCAAGGGAUUUGAUAUGCGUAACCGUUGUUGCAUCACAUAUUAUUAUUAGUUGUCUCUUACUUGCUCAAUGGUACACGUAAAGUAUGGGAUGUUGUUGAGGUAUCGGGCAGGAACGUGAUGCAAACAUCAUCAGUUGUCACAACUUCAGUUGUAACGCACAGGUAAUGUACAUACACUGAAUUGCAUCCAUGCUUUCAAAACUUCAAAUGUUUUUGGUUCAGCAACAACUAGUCAUAACCUAAAUCUUUUGCGCAGUAAUGAUCGUUUGAUGCCGCCGGUUGAUUGGAUUGUUGAUAUUGUCUUCUCCUUUUUGCAGGUACGGCGACCAAGCAGGAGAGAUAACACAAGACUACCUCCACGCCGCCGGUUCGAAUGUCAUGUUCUCUGUGAAUUCUAAUCUCGUAAACAAAAUCUUUUUUCAGGUCACAGCAUCAACUCCUCUCCCUGCAAUCGAGUCUUCAGAAGGAAUUACCAGGACCGAUUCUUUGCCGUCAGGUUCGGAACCCUUGUCUCCUGUAGCUCAAUCACCUUAGAGCAGAUCCAUCUAAGGUUCUCCGUUCGUCUACAGCCAUAUCAGCAUCAGGACUGAGUAUGCUAGCUGGAACUACAUCAAUACCUAAAAGGAGGUGAUCGAUGCUGACAAGUGCGGCCCGGUGGCGCUGUGCUCUUCACCCACUCAGAGGCGGACUUCGCCGUGAAGCCCGGUGGCCACGUCGCACAGAUGAUCGUCCAGGUGAUUUCGACGCCGGAAGUCGCCGAUGUGGAGGACCUCGAUGCCACCGUCUGCGAGAGGGAGGAUUCGUGUCCAGCGGCGUCUGAACUCCUAUCCUUGUAGAUACAUCUAGAGAGUUGGUCUGUUUAGGUUGGUGGCCACUAGGGAAGGUACCCACCUUACGACGAUGGUUGUGUGUAUCUGAUGUUAAAUGGAAUCUUGAGAUGGUUCUGUGAGUUGGUUUGGUUUGCAAUGGACGUAUUACCAUUCAUGAGUACUA
Molecule: long non-coding RNA, 3028 nt
Organism: Triticum dicoccoides
Lineage: Eukaryota; Viridiplantae; Streptophyta; Magnoliopsida; Poales; Poaceae
Exons: 4
Source: RefSeq, a predicted model, not a curated record